UACCUGGUUGAUCCUGCCAGUAGUCAUAUGCUUGUCUCAAAGAUUAAGCCAUGCAUGUCUAAGUAUAAACAACUUUAUACUGUGAAACUGCGUACAGCUCAUUAAAUCAGUAAUAAUUUAUUUGAUGGUCUCUUCUACAUGGAUAACCGUAGUAAUUCUAGAGCUAAUACAUGCGUAAAGUCCCGACUCGCGAGGGGAGGGAUGUAUUUAUUAGUUAAAAAACCAAUGCGAACCUCUGGUUCGGUCAUCUUGGUGAGUCAUAGUAACUGUUCGAAGCGCAUGGACUCGUUCCGGCGCUAGUUCAUUCAAAUUUCUGCCCUAUCAGCUUUCGACGGUAGUGUAGUGGACUACCGUGGCGUUAACGGGUAACGGGGAAUUAGGGUUCG
RNAcentral lists this non-coding RNA (386 nucleotides) under Beta vulgaris subsp. vulgaris (sugar beet). RNAcentral describes it as "Eukaryotic small subunit ribosomal RNA". It matches the Rfam family "Eukaryotic small subunit ribosomal RNA", at positions 1 to 379 of the family's 1831-position model. The record is from Rfam by way of RNAcentral. Lineage: Eukaryota; Viridiplantae; Streptophyta; Magnoliopsida; Caryophyllales; Amaranthaceae.